AAGUCGUAACAAGGUUUCCGUAGGUGAACCUGCGGAAGGAUCAUUAGUAAUUGAUUUAGAGUGGGCAACCACUCUUUUUCUCUGUGAACUGCUCGUCUCGGUUAAUUUCCUAAGCCUAGGGAAUUUAAUUGGGGUUGAACGCUAGCACUAUUAAAUCCCUAGGGAUUUAAUUAAGCUGGGCACUACCUCAAUUAAAUUCCUAAAGCCCAAGGAAAUUAGUCGAAAUGGGGGCACUGCCUCGCAUUUAUUCCGCAAGGAAUUUAGGCGGGGUAGGGCUUAUUGAACUCUGAUAUUUUUAAACUAAUGUAAGCAAUGCUAGCUUCGGCCAGCUGCGCUUAAAACAUUAAACCAAGACAACUUUCAGCAAUGGAUCUCUUGGCUCUU
This 384-nucleotide unclassified non-coding RNA is filed under the name fungal sp. RNAcentral's name for it is "partial internal transcribed spacer region". The stretch from base 1 to 46 matches the Rfam family "Eukaryotic small subunit ribosomal RNA", at positions 1786 to 1831 of the family's 1831-position model. Lineage: Eukaryota; Fungi. The record is from RNAcentral.